GAUGAAGACGCAGCGAAAUGCGAUAAGUAAUGUGAAUUGCAGAAUUCAGUGAAUCAUCGAAUCUUUGAACGCAUCUUGCGCUCCUUGGUAUUCUGAGGAGCAUGCCUGUUUGAGUGUCAUUAAAUUCUCAACUACACUGACUUUGAAUUGGUGUGGCUUGGAUUUGGGGGGAAAAUUGUUGUGGGCUUUUUGUAUAGUCUGCUCCCCUGAAAUUGAUUAGCGGUACCUUUGUGGAACUGUCUACAGGUGUGAUAAUUAUCUACAUCUUAGACAUCUGCUGGAAUGCUGCUUUCUAAACCUUACUUGUAUUGACAAUCUUGACCUCAAAUCAGGUAGGACUACCCGCUGAACUUAAGCAUAUCAAUAAGCGGAGGA
This 375-nucleotide unclassified non-coding RNA is filed under the name soil metagenome. Its description in RNAcentral is "partial contains 5.8S ribosomal RNA, internal transcribed spacer 2, and large subunit ribosomal RNA". The stretch from base 1 to 119 matches the Rfam family "5.8S ribosomal RNA", at positions 35 to 154 of the family's 154-position model. The record is from RNAcentral.